GUCACCACCAAGCUAAGCACAUGGAGAAACCACAUGCCAAAUCUGCACUAAAGAUUUCUAGAAGAGCAAGUUUUGUCUUUCAGGACAGACGCCAGCAGUAUCCAUUGCAAGACUCCACGCGACAAGCAUGUGCAGCAGGGAAGCCUAGUUGCAUAUAAAACAUGACAACACUCCGAACAUGGUCUUCUGGUCUAAGUUGUAAUGUGAUGACAGCAAUUUCAUUGCUUGAUCAUUUACUGCUUGCCAGAAGUCACAGAAGACACUGCCACGUUUAUGAUAUCAGGAUGACAUACCCUAUGUAAAGUUGUAUUUCUUCAAUCUGUUUGAGAUACAUCCACAUAGGAGAUCAACUUUAAAUGGCGAGUAGUUUGUGAGCAGACAUGAACAGAAAAAAUUGAGUGCUUGAUGCUUAAUUUCACCUUUUAUGUUUGUUGAGUCAGCCUCACGAUGUACUUCUAUGAUAUUCAGAGCCUGUCCAGCGUCCACCUACUUUUAAAAAUUGAUGUUUUGCCAUUUCUAGAGUUGUUAUAUUUCGUAAGUGUCUUUUCUUGCCUUCAGUCACUCAGCUUACUGAAAGAAGAGAACAAACUAAUCAAAAUAUACUUUAAAUCCACAGGCAAAGGAGGAAGUCAAAGAGCAACUUUCCGUGGACAAAUCGAAGGCUACCCAAAGGCCUGCUGCAAAAGAAAAUACCAAGCCUGUAGAUUUCAAACUCCACACACAACAGAGAGCUAUCAAACGUGCGAUGUUUAAUUACUCGGUUGCAACCAAGCUGUAUCUCAUGGAGCAACAGAAGAAAUAUGAAGAGAAGUUGCAAAAGGUGUAGAAGAGAAUUAAGAUGGUAUCUGACAAGUUCUAGAUUUUCAUG
Molecule: long non-coding RNA, 868 nt
Organism: Eucalyptus grandis
Lineage: Eukaryota; Viridiplantae; Streptophyta; Magnoliopsida; Myrtales; Myrtaceae
Exons: 4
Source: RefSeq, a predicted model, not a curated record